This 112-nucleotide transfer RNA is filed under the name Cercophora samala. It matches the Rfam family "tRNA". From Rfam's summary of the family: Transfer RNA (tRNA) molecules are approximately 80 nucleotides in length. Their secondary structure includes four short double-helical elements and three loops (D, anti-codon, and T loops). Further hydrogen bonds mediate the characteristic L-shaped molecular structure. tRNAs have two regions of fundamental functional importance: the anti-codon, which is responsible for specific mRNA codon recognition, and the 3' end, to which the tRNAs corresponding amino acid is attached (by aminoacyl-tRNA synthetases). tRNAs cope with the degeneracy of the genetic code in two manners: having more than one tRNA (with a specific anti-codon) for a particular amino acid; and 'wobble' base-pairing, i.e. permitting non-standard base-pairing at the 3rd anti-codon position. The record is from Rfam by way of RNAcentral. Lineage: Eukaryota; Fungi; Ascomycota; Sordariomycetes; Sordariales; Lasiosphaeriaceae.
GGCUAGAUGGCCGAGCGGUCUAAGGCGCCACGUUAAGGUCUUCCUUAAUCAUCAUCUUCCAACAAAGAUUCCGUGGUCCGAAAGGGCGUGAGUUCGAAUCUCACUCUAGUCA